CCCAGGCUAAACCCUUGAAUAAAUCAGUGGCUUUGUGAAGCAAAGGUGUGACUCUGGAGAAGUCGCACCUCACCGCGCAGUUUCCCCGUUCAUCACGGGGAGCUUGUGAUCCACUCUGACCCCGAGCUGAAAACCCUCCUGGCACGCUCAGCAUUCUGGCGACUGUUCAGCUCCAGACCCAGCCUAAACAAGCGAGCUCUGGGUGGUGGUCGGAUCAAUAUUUGUUGGAAAAUCGCGUACCAAAGGACAAAUUCUAUUGUGUACGCAGUGCUUGUUUUGCAAUAGGAGUGGCCGUCUCUGAGGAAGGGGGUGCACACAUGAGAUGCACUCAGUGCAGGGAGCGUGUGGGGGAGCUCAGUGCAUUCCCUUCCACGCUGCAAGAGCACAAAUGCUCAACAGCUGCAUCUAAAGAAGAAUUGUUCUGAAUGUUUAAGCCAAAACAGUCCAUGGAGGAACUUCUUGGGAAACUGGUGAACUUUAACCUUCCCAGGAUAAGAACGCUACCCACACUAAGAAGAGGCUCAUGAGAAUGGCCCCCUCAAGACUCUUCAGCUACAAGAGAGCCAAGGAGAAAUUGAUGCAGAACUUAAAAGACUAGACAAAGGAAUCAGGGGAAAAGAAGAGCUAAAAUGAAACUAAAUCAUCCCUUGUCCCCUAAAAUACACUGUCAGAUAUGAAUAUAUUAAUUAGGAAGGCCAAACUACAGCCAUACCAACACUCCUGCCUCUAAUGCAAAGUUUAUUCAUUGUUCCCAGCUUCAGUGAAUCACACAAAACAUGGUGUAUUAGAUCCUUACAAGUCUGUGCUUGGCUGGCUUUUUGGGGGGAAGUGUGGGGGGGGUGUGAAGUUUGAUUUUGUAUUUUAGAAAACCCAAACACCACCAUAACUUUAUUCACACAUCCAAGACCUAGUACAAACUGUGCAAUUCAAGAAAUUCUCUGGUUCCUAGAAAAAACUAAUUCACAGCAGUUAAAAGUUCAAUUGGGCUUAGCUUAAUUUUUAAAAAGUUGUAAAAUAUUGAGUAGUUUCCACAUUCCAUCACAAAUACUCUGCAUUUUAAAGAGGAAACAGACUCCCUACAUUUACAUUCAAGUACUGUCAAGUCACCUGUACUUCAAAUCCAUGCCUUCAGCAAGACUAACAAGUGCUGCACUGUUAUCUCCCCCAGACUAUCCUCACUUCAAAGGGUUAUGUGCAGGCUCAUGACUGGAGUUUCUUUCUGCCUUGCAGCUGCUAAGAGCUGACCACCUUCUUAAGCAGCCUUAGCCUUAUUUUGUGCAACACAGGUCUGUCUUAAAACCUCUCCACAUCUAUUUUUACAAGCCAGGCUCAUCUCAGUCUUAUUAGUUCCACAUUUACAAUACGCAAUACAAUAUGAAGAUAAUCAAAUUCAGUGAGCAAGCUUGCAGCCACAUCUGGGAAAUCUGAUGCCACAUUCAGGAGGCCUCUGGGUUGAUCCACAUGCUGUAAUAAGAAUGAAAAUCUAAGUUCCAACCAAGUAUCAUUUGAAACCCACCUUUAGGAGUUAAGAGAAUUCCAAAGGUACACUUCUACAGCAGUGUAACAGCAAUGAGAAAAAUCCCCAACAAGCCACAUUGGCCUCAACAAUGUACACACAUUAGGAUUUUCUUUUUCUGUGUGAUGUUUCUUCAGUUAUUUGAGAUUGUCUUGAUGUCAGUUUAGCUGAGUGUGUCUGCUUUGUACAUAAGCAACUGGUAAAAAUUCUCCUGGCUUCUGCAAAGGAGGAGGAACCUGAAGACACUGAAAGUAGGGCAGUGACUAAGCAUCUGAAUAAUGCAAGACACAUUAAAGCAUAAUUAACAUACAGCAGUUACAGUAAAGCUAUUCAUUACCCACUUUUAGAGGCAACAGAUUCUUCCUUAAUUGUACGCACAAGAUGUUAAGUUUCCAUCAAGCUCAGCCAAGUUUGUUGUUCUGGGUUUUGCUGCAAUUUUUUCAAAUAAAAAGAACAAAUACAAUACAAUCAGGUUUCCAGCAAAGCAUAAAUACAGAUCUGUUCAAGUGAAGCCACCCAAAACUGUUGUUUCCACAAUUUGUGUGUCUGGCAUACCCACUCCACUGGACCAAAUACAUUGGGAUCUUAGACAGAAAACAAGACAUGUUUAUAGGGAGGAUAUACAGAGAUUUAUUUAAUCAGGUUUACUAUUUACAGCUGAGAUCACUUUCACAUACUACUCUGCUACUCUACAUAGCUACAUUGUUUCCAAACCAAUUGAAGGUCUACAGUCUAACAGUUCACUCAACACAUAAAAUGCUCUUCAUAGAAAAAUGAAAUAUUUCAUUAUAGAACAGUAGUGCAUACAUUAUACUCCUGAAAAGCCAGCUUGUAUUUUAAACCACUAAUGUUUGAAAGACUGAAUCUCUGAAGGUCAAAACUGCAGUCACAUAAUCCUAAAAUCGGUUAGGUUUUUUUUUUAAAUUUUUUUUUUUUUUUUUUACAAUUUCCUUAUAUAUAAAGCAUACUGGACUUAAGUGUUUCUUUCUUAAAAGUGACACUGGUGAGGGGCAAGAUUAAAA
Molecule: long non-coding RNA, 2538 nt
Organism: Oenanthe melanoleuca
Lineage: Eukaryota; Metazoa; Chordata; Aves; Passeriformes; Muscicapidae
Exons: 2
Source: RefSeq, a predicted model, not a curated record